AGCGAACGUUAGCGGCAGGCUUACACAUGCAAGUCGAACGAGAAAGUAUGCGCUUGCGUAUACGAGUAGAGUGGCGCACGGGUGAGUAACACGUAAACAAUCUAUCCUUUGGUUGGGGAUAACUACUGGAAACGGUAGCUAAUACCCGAUAAGUCUGAGAGGUCUGCGGAUUUUUCAGAGAAAGGCGAGACACGCCGGAGGGUGAGUUUGCGUCCCAUCAGCUAGAUGGUAGGGUAAGGGCCUACCAUGGCGAUGACGGGUAGCUGGUUUGAGAGGAUGAUCAGCCACACUGGGACUGAGACACGGCCCAGACUCCUACGGGAGGCAGCAGUGGGGAAUAUUGGACAAUGGGGGCAACCCUGAUCCAGCCAUGCCGCGUGAAGGAAGAAGGUUUUCGGAUCGUAAGCUUCUGUUGGGAGGGAAGAAAGACCGUUUUAUAGACGGUGAUGACGGUACCUCCUUAGCAAGCACCGGCUAACUCCGUGCCAGCAGCCGCGGUAAUACGGAGGGUGCGAACGUUGCUCGGAAUCACUGGGCUUAAAGGGCUCGUAGGCGGUUAUGUAAGUUAGGUGUGAAAUCCCCGGGCUUAACCCGGGACGUGCACUUAAAACUGUGUAACUGGAGUACAGGAGAGGAUAGCGGAAUUCCCGGUGUAGAGGUGAAAUUCGUAGAUAUCGGGAAGAACACCAGAGGCGAAGGCGGCUAUCUGGACUGUAACUGACGCUGAUGAGCGAAAGCGUGGGUAGCGAACAGGAUUAGAUACCCUGGUAGUCCACGCUGUAAACGAUGAGUGCU
This 795-nucleotide ribosomal RNA is filed under the name uncultured organism. RNAcentral describes it as "bacterial SSU rRNA". It matches the Rfam family "Bacterial small subunit ribosomal RNA", at positions 28 to 817 of the family's 1533-position model. The record is from RNAcentral.